This 465-nucleotide ribosomal RNA is filed under the name uncultured bacterium. RNAcentral's name for it is "partial 16S ribosomal RNA". It matches the Rfam family "Bacterial small subunit ribosomal RNA", at positions 338 to 795 of the family's 1533-position model. The record is from RNAcentral.
CCUACGGGUGGCAGCAGUAGGGAAUCUUCCACAAUGGGCGAAAGCCUGAUGGAGCAACGCCGCGGGGGUGAAGAAGGUCUUCGGAUCGUAAAACCCUGUUGUUAGAGAAGAAAGUGCGUGAGAGUAACUGUUCACGUUUCGACGGUAUCUAACAAGAAAGCCACGGCUAACUACGAGAAAGCAGCCGCGGUAAGACGUAGGUGGCAAGCGUUAUCCGGAUUUAUGUGGCGUAAAGGGAACGCAGGCGGUCUUUUAAGUCUGAUGUGAAAGCCUUGGGCUUAACCGGAGUAGUGCAUUGGAAACUGGGAGACUUGAGUGCAGAAGAGGAGAGUGGAACUCCAUGUGUAGCGGUGAAAUGCGUAGAUAUAUGGAAGAACACCAGUGGCGAAAGCGGCUCUCUGGUCUGUAACUGACGCUGAGGUUCGAAAGCGUGGGUAGCAAACAGGAUUAGAUACCCGGGUAGUC